CAACCUCAACUCAUAUGGGACUACCCCCUGAAUUUAAGCAUAUUAAUUAGGGGAGGAAAAGAAACUAACAAGGAUUUUCUUAGUAGCGGCGAGCGAAAAGAAAUCAGUUCAGCACUAAGUCACUUUGUCUAUAUGGCAAAUGUGAGAUGCAGUGUACGGAACAUCAACAUUCUAGUAUGAGAAGUUAACGAUUUAAGUCCUUCUUAAAUGAGGCCAUUUACCCAUAGAGGGUGCCAGGCCCGUAUAACGUUAAUGAUUACUAGAUGGUGUUUCCAAAGAGUCGUGUUGCUUGAUAGUGCAGCACUAAGUGGGUGGUAAACUCCAUCUAAAACUAAAUAUAACCAUGAGACCGAUAGUAAACAAGUACCGUGAGGGAAAGUUGAAAAGAACUCUGAAUAGAGAGUUAAAUAGUACGUGAAACUGCUUAGAGGUUAAGCCCGAUGAACCUGAAUAUCCGUUAUGGAAAAUUCAUCAUUAGAAUUGUAAUAUUUUAAACAAUAUUAUAAUAAUAGUGUGCAUUUUUUCCAUAUAAGGACAUUGUAAUCUAUUAGCAUAAAUAUUUAUCAUAAAAUUAUGUCUGAUUGCUUAUUUGAAUUAUAUGC
Molecule: non-coding RNA, 602 nt
Filed under: Drosophila virilis
Lineage: Eukaryota; Metazoa; Arthropoda; Insecta; Diptera; Drosophilidae
Description: Eukaryotic large subunit ribosomal RNA
Rfam family: Eukaryotic large subunit ribosomal RNA
Source: Rfam by way of RNAcentral